This 253-nucleotide ribosomal RNA is filed under the name uncultured bacterium. Its description in RNAcentral is "partial 16S ribosomal RNA". It matches the Rfam family "Bacterial small subunit ribosomal RNA", at positions 524 to 776 of the family's 1533-position model. The record is from RNAcentral.
UACAGAGGGUGCAAGCGUUAAUCGGAAUUACUGGGCGUAAAGCGUGCGCAGGCGGUUCGUUGUGUCGGCGGUGAAAGCCCCGGGCUCAACCUGGGAAUGGCCGUUGAAACUGGCGAACUGGAGUGUGGCAGAGGGGGGUGGAAUUCCGCGUGUAGCAGUGAAAUGCGUAGAGAUGCGGAGGAACACCGAUGGCGAAGGCAGCCCCCUGGGCUGACACUGACGCUCAGGCACGAAAGCGCGGGGAGCAAACAGG